RNAcentral lists this transfer RNA (72 nucleotides) under Ornithorhynchus anatinus (platypus). It matches the Rfam family "tRNA". From Rfam's summary of the family: Transfer RNA (tRNA) molecules are approximately 80 nucleotides in length. Their secondary structure includes four short double-helical elements and three loops (D, anti-codon, and T loops). Lineage: Eukaryota; Metazoa; Chordata; Mammalia; Monotremata; Ornithorhynchidae. The record is from Rfam by way of RNAcentral.
AGCAGUGUGGCUUUGUGGAAAAAGCAUGGGCCUGGAAGUCAGAAGACCUAGGUUCUAAUCCUGGCUCUGCCA